AGAGUUUGAUCCUGGCUCAGGACGAACGCUGGCGGCGGGCUUAACACAUGCAAGUCGAACGAGGUCCAUUCUGUAGCAAUACAGAGGAAGACCUAGUGGCGAACGGGUGAGGAACACGUGAGGAACCUGCCCCGAACUUUGGGAUAACAGUUGGAAACGACUGCUAAUACCGAAUGCCGUUACGAAGUGGCAUCACUUUGUAACGAAAGAAUUUCGGUUCGGGAGGGCCUCGCGGCCUAUCAGCUAGUUGGUGGGGUAAUGGCCUACCAAGGCAUCGACGGGUAGCUGGUCUGAGAGGAUGAUCAGCCACACUGGGACUGAGACACGGCCCAGACUCCUACGGGAGGCAGCAGUGGGGAAUCUUGUGCAAUGGGCGAAAGCCUGACACAGCCACGCCGCGUGCGGGAAGAAGGCCUUCGGGUUGUAAACCGCUUUCAGCAGGAACGAAAAUGACGGUACCUGCAGAAGAAGAUGCGGCCAACUACGUGCCAGCAGCCGCGGUGAUACGUAGGCAUCAAGCGUUGUCCGGAUUUAUUGGGCGUAAAGAGCUCGUAGGCGGUUCAGCAAGUCGGGUGUGAAAACUCUGGGCUUAACCCAGAGCCUGCACUCGAAACUGCUGUGACUAGAGUUCGGUAGGGGAGCAGGGAAUUCCUAGUGUAGCGGUGAAAUGCGCAGAUAUUANNANGAACACCAAUGGCGANNNCACUGCUCUGGGCCGAUACUGACGCUGNNNAGCGAGAGCGUGGGUAGCAAACAGGANNAGAUACCCUGGUAGUCCACGCCGU
This 785-nucleotide ribosomal RNA is filed under the name uncultured bacterium. Its description in RNAcentral is "bacterial SSU rRNA". It matches the Rfam family "Bacterial small subunit ribosomal RNA", at positions 8 to 803 of the family's 1533-position model. The record is from RNAcentral.